UACGGAGGGUGCAAGCGUUGUUCGGAAUUAUUGGGCGUAAAGCGCGCGCAGGCGGCUUGAGAAGUCUAUGGGUGAAAGGCCGGGGCUCAACCCCGUGUGUGCCCAGGAUACUCUCAGGCUAGAGACACGUAGAGGCAAGCGGAAUUCCUGGUGUAGCGGUGAAAUGCGCAGAUAUCAGGAAGAACACCCGUGGCUAAGGCGGCUCUCUAGUACGGUACUGACGCUGAGACGCGAAAGCGUGGGGAGCGAACAGG
Molecule: ribosomal RNA, 254 nt
Filed under: uncultured bacterium
Lineage: Bacteria
Description: partial 16S ribosomal RNA
Rfam family: Bacterial small subunit ribosomal RNA
Source: RNAcentral